Molecule: ribosomal RNA, 254 nt
Filed under: uncultured bacterium
Lineage: Bacteria
Description: partial 16S ribosomal RNA
Rfam family: Bacterial small subunit ribosomal RNA
Source: RNAcentral
CACGUAGGGGCCAAGCGUUGUCCGGAUUUAUUGGGCGUAAAGAGCUCGUAGGCGGUUGGGUAAGUCGGGUGUGAAAACUCUGGGCUCAACUCAGAGACGCCACCCGAUACUGCUCUGACUUGAGUCCGGUAGGGGAGUGGGGAAUUCCUGGUGUAGCGGUGAGAUGCGCAGAUAUCAGGAGGAACACCGGUGGCGAAGGCGCCACUCUGGGCCGGAACUGACGCUGAGGAGCGAAAGCGUGGGUAGCGAUCCGG